Molecule: ribosomal RNA, 495 nt
Filed under: uncultured soil bacterium
Lineage: Bacteria
Description: bacterial SSU rRNA
Rfam family: Bacterial small subunit ribosomal RNA
Source: RNAcentral
AGGACGACCGCUGGCGGCGUGCUUAACACAUGCAAGUCGAGCGGUAAGGCCUUUCGGGGUACACGAGCGGCGAACGGGUGAGUAACACGUGGGUGAUCUGCCCUGCACUCUGGGAUAAGCCUGGGAAACUGGGUCUAAUACCGGAUAUGACCUGCUCUCGCAUGGGGGUGGGUGGAAAGAUUUAUCGGUGCAGGAUGGGCCCGCGGCCUAUCAGCUUGUUGGUGGGGUAAUGGCCUACCAAGGCGACGACGGGUAGCCGACCUGAGAGGGUGACCGGCCACACUGGGACUGAGACACGGCCCAGACUCCUACGGGAGGCAGCAGUGGGAAUAUGCACAAUGGGACGAAAGCCUGAUGCAGCGACGCCGCGUGAGAGAUGGAAGGCCUUCGGGUUAGUAAACCUCUUUCAGCGAGGACGAAGCGACAAGUGACGGUACCUGACAAGAAGAAGCACCGGCUAACUACGUGCCAGCACGCCGUACGGUAAUCGUAGGA